CUUUUUUUCUUUUUUUUUUGGCGGCGGGGAGACGUAUCCCUCUUGUCACCCAGGCUGGAGCGCAAUGGCAUGGUUUCUGCUCACUGCAACCUCCGCCUGCAGUGUUCAAGUGAUUGUCCUGUCUGACUCCCAAGUAGCUGGGAUUACAGGUGCCCACCACCAUGCCUGGCUGAUUUUUGUAUUUCCAGUAAGACGGAAAUACAUGUUGUCCAGGCUGCUCUGGAACUCCUGACCUUAGGUGGUCCACCCGCCUUGGCCUCCCAAAGUGCUGGGAUUACAGGCACGAGCCAUAGUGCCCAGCCCUCUCUCAUUUCUUCUUGCAGGUGCUCCAGGAACCAGGAGUUGAAGACCAGGGUCUGAGUUGCACUUCUAAAGCCAGCACAGCAGAGGAGGCGCAGGCAGUGCUAGGAGUCAAGGUUCCCACUGAACAAACGCCCUAGGAAGACAGGCGAUCUGUGAAGCCUACAGUACCAUCUUAAGAGAAGGAGAGUUGUAAGGCAGCCUUUUGUCAGAGUCAUCAUGGACAAGGAGAAGCCUGCUGCUGGGAUGCCGAGUCUUCUCCAGAGUUCUCCUGAGAAUCUUCAGAGUCCUCCUGAGGGGCCUGACCAGUCUCCUCUCCAGAGUCCCGUGAGCUCCUUCGUCUCCUCUUCAUUGAGUCUUCAGAGUCCUCCUGAGAGUCCUCAGAGUCCACCUGAGGGGCCUGACCAGUCUCCUCUCCAGAGUUCUCUGAGCUCCUUCGUUUCCUCCACUUCACUGAGUCUUCCCCUGAGUUUCCCUGAGAGUCCUCAGAGUCCUCCUGAGGGGCCUGCCCAGCCUCCUUUCCAGAGUUGUGUGUGCUCCUUCUACUCCCGUUCAGUGAGUUUUCUCCAGACUUUCCCUGAGAGUCCUUGGAGUCCUCCUGAGGGGCCUUCCCAGUCUCCUCUCCAGAGUCCUGUGAGCUCCUUCUCAUCCACUUCCCUGAGUCUUCCCCCGAGUUCCCCUCAGAGUCCUCCUGAGGGGCCUGCCCAGCCUGCUUUCCAGUGUUGUGUGUGCUCCUUCUCCUCCAGUUCAGUGAGUUUUCUCCAGACUUUCCCUGAGAGUCCUUGGAGUUCUCCUGAGGGGCCUUCCCAGUCUCCUCUCCAGAGUCCUGUGAGCUCCUUCUCAUCCACUUCCCUGAGUCUUCCCCUGAGUUCCCCUGAGAGUCCUCAGAGUGCUUCUGAGGGGCCUGCCCAGCCUGCUUUCCAGGGUUGUGUGUGCUCCUUCUCCUCCAGUUCAGUGAGUUUUCUCCAGAGUUUCCCUGAGAGUCCUUGGAGUUCUCCUGAGGGGCCUUCCCAAUCUCCUCUCCAGAGUCCUGUGAGCUCCUUCUCCUCCUCCCGCUCUUCCCAUUCCUUCCACUCGUCCCCCUCCACCCCCUCUUCAUCAUCCUCCUCCUCCUCCCCUCCCUACCCCUCCUCCUUCUCCUCCUUCUACCCCUCCUCCUCAUCCUCCCCCCACUCCUGUUCAUUGAGUUUUCUCCAGAGUUCCCCUGAGAGUCCUCAGAGUCCUCCUGAGGGGCCUGCACAGUCUCCUCUCCUGAGUUUUGUGAGGUCCUUCUCCUCCAUUUCACUGAGUUUUCCCCCGAGUUCCCCUGAGAGUCCUCAGAGUCCUCCUGAGGGGCCUGUGCAGUCUCUUCUCCUGAGUUUUGUGAGGUCCUUCUCCUCCAUUUCACUGAGUCUUCCCCUGAGAUCCCCUGAGAGUCCUCCUGAGGGGCCUGCCGAGUUUGCUCUCCAGAGUUUUGUGUACUCCUUCUCCUCCACUUCACUGAUUCUUCUCCAGAGUUUCCCUGAGAGUCCUCCUGAGGGGCCUUCCCAGUAUCCUCUUCAGAGUCCUGUGAGCUCCUCCUCCUCCUCCUCCCCCACCUCCUCACCCCCCUCCUCCUCUUCCCCCUCCUCCUCUUCCUCCUCCUCCUCCUCCUCUUCCUCCUCUUCUUCCUCUUCACUGAGUCUUCUCCAGAGUUCCCCUGAGAGUCCUCAGAGUCCUCCUGAAGGGCCUGCCCUGUCUGCUCUCCAGGGUCCUGUGAGCUCCUUCUCCUCCAGCCCAUUGAGUCUUCCCCUGAGUUUCCCUGAGUGCCCUCAGAGUACUCCUGAGAGGCCUGCUGAGUGUGCUCUUCAGAGUUUUUUGUGUUCCUCCUUUUCCUCCACUUCACUGAGUCUUCUCCAGAGUUUCCCUGAGAGUCCUCAGAGUCCUUCUGAGGGGCCUGCCCAGUCUCUUCCACAGAGUCCUAUGAGCUCCUUCUCCUCCCGCUCCUCCAGUUCAUUGAGUCUUCUCCAGAGUUCUCCUGUGAGUCCUCAGAGACCUUCUGAGGGGCCUGCCCAGUCUACUCUCCAGAUUUUUGUGUGCUCCUUCUUCUCUGACUGUUUGAGUCUUCUCGAGAGUUCCCCUGAGUGUCCCCAGAGUCCUCCUGAGGGGCCUUCCCAGUCUGCUCUCCAGGGUCCUGUGAGCACCUUCUCUAGUCCAUUGAGUCUUC
Molecule: long non-coding RNA, 2485 nt
Filed under: Saimiri boliviensis boliviensis (Bolivian squirrel monkey)
Lineage: Eukaryota; Metazoa; Chordata; Mammalia; Primates; Cebidae
Description: lncRNA (ENSSBOG00000036595.1)
Source: RNAcentral